RNAcentral lists this ribosomal RNA (497 nucleotides) under uncultured bacterium. RNAcentral describes it as "partial 16S ribosomal RNA". It matches the Rfam family "Bacterial small subunit ribosomal RNA", at positions 28 to 507 of the family's 1533-position model. The record is from RNAcentral.
GAUGAACGCUGGCGGCGUGCCUAAUACAUGCAAGUCGAGCGAACAGACAAGGAGCUUGCUCCUCUGACGUUAGCGGCGGACGGGUGAGUAACACGUGGAUAACCUACCUAUAAGACUGGGAUAACUUCGGGAAACCGGAGCUAAUACCGGAUAAUAUAUUGAACCGCAUGGUUCAAUAGUGAAAGACGGUUUUGCUGUCACUUAUAGAUGGAUCCGCGCCGCAUUAGCUAGUUGGUAAGGUAACGGCUUACCAAGGCGACGAUGCGUAGCCGACCUGAGAGGGUGAUCGGCCACACUGGAACUGAGACACGGUCAAGACUCCUACGGGAGGCAGCAGUAGGGAAUCUUCCGCAAUGGGCGAAAGCCUGACGGAGCAACGCCGCGUGAGUGAUGAAGGUCUUCGGAUCGUAAAACUCUGUUAUUAGGGAAGAACAAAUGUGUAAGUAACUAUGCACGUCUUGACGGUACCUAAUCAGAAAGCCACGGCUAACUACGUG